CCACCCUGAGCUCAGCUACUCCCCCAGCUGUGCUCUGCAUUUAAAUAACAGCUUCCUGCUGCUCAGAGUGAAUUGCCUCUGACUGAGAGACCAGACCUGUGAGGAGAACAGACAUGAGGCAAGAAGCAAGAUGUACUGUGCAUUCUUCAUGGUCUCCUCAGGACAGCUUCCUCAGAGAAAUGACACCAGUGCUACUUCCAGUUAUAUCCCUGUUUUCAUGCCUUUGUCCCAGCCUAAUGACUCCUCUGAACUUGAACUCUUGGAUGUUGGUUGGAUUUGCAUGCCAUGCCUGUUCGAACUUGCACACAGCCUGGGCCAGCAGAGAUGUUUUAUCUAUGGUGACAAAUUGCUGUGUAAAGUUACAGUGUGACAUGGAGAGAACAACCACGCUGAUGGGACUGCAAUCUGAGACACAUAAUGUGCCAGGGAGCAGAGGCAAAGAAAACAAAGGCAGGAGCAGAGCUGAUCUCGGUGCAAAGGGCAGCUCAGAGCCUUUGGCCCAUUUCUCCACAGACAUGCUGGAUGGUCUGACUCAUGUGGCAUGUGUCCAUUAG
Zonotrichia albicollis (white-throated sparrow) is the source of this 554-nucleotide long non-coding RNA. Lineage: Eukaryota; Metazoa; Chordata; Aves; Passeriformes; Passerellidae. The record is from Ensembl.